Non-coding RNA from Drosophila virilis, 438 nucleotides. The record is from RefSeq and is a predicted model, not a curated record. NCBI's taxonomy places the organism in Eukaryota, Metazoa, Arthropoda, Insecta, Diptera, Drosophilidae.
CGGUUUCUCUGGGUGUAGUCCCAUCCCUGGCCCGCAGUCCGCACAAUCGAUAACAACGAAGCUACACGUCUGUAGCAAAACACACUUACACAACACUAUGCAAAGCGAACCACCACUCGAUAACGUCAAACAAUAGGAACUUCUAACUCAUGAACAAAAUAAACAGCUGUAACAACUAUGAACAUGUAAAAAACAAAGAUCGGGGCCCGGUUCCGGACACAGCGUAGCCGCCCAACCAUGAGACGAUCACCUACUCGUCUCCAACGUUCUGCCAUUAGAUGGCCAUCAGCCUGUGCCGGCUGUUAUGCCAACUCUCUCCAACAAAGAAAACUACCCGGACAUUUCUCUCUUCAGAUACGGUUAUCUUCAAGCUGUUAUUUAUAAUUUCGUACUCGCUAACGUUUCCGGCACUUUAAGCCAGGUGCAUACGAAAAGCUG